AUAUUACUCCCUCCUUUCGGAAAUACUUGUCCUAUAAAUGAAUACAAUGAAUGUAUCUAUAACUAAAAUAAGUCUGGAUACAACCAUUUCUUGGACAAGUAUUUCCGGACGGAGGAAGUACUUU
This is a non-coding RNA of Triticum aestivum (bread wheat), 124 nucleotides long. The record is from Rfam. Lineage: Eukaryota; Viridiplantae; Streptophyta; Magnoliopsida; Poales; Poaceae.